AAUUCCUUCACUUUUCCCUUCUCACUCUCUCUCUUAUUUCAUUUUCUCUCUCUACAGAUUUCUUCUCACCUCACUUCUCUCUCCUAAAUAGCCUCUAUGAAUUAUCAAAAAUCAGGAGCAGCAGAACUAAUAUCAGCGAUGGCAAUUUUACCCCUAGAAGUAUCGGACUCGCAAUCGCUCAAGCUGAGAAACCCCUUCACUAAGCUCAUCGAAAAAUCAAGGUGUUAUGUUAUGCAAAUGAGAUUCAAUUUUAGGUGACGGGUAUUAUUCGAGUUAUGACUUUAACAAACUAAGCUGAUCUCUAUUUAUGUAUGGAUGAUAAAAAUUUUGAUUUUUAUUAGUGUUGGGAUAGUAAAACUGAAGAACAACGUAUGGGCUAAUUUGGGGCAGUUUCUCUAAAUUUCGAUUACUCUGUUGCUCAAGUUUUGGGAAAACAAAGCAUGAUAUUGAUCCGACAGCUGAAUGGGGGGAAACUGGACUCGAAGAGUCUAUGUGGAGAUUGGGUCUUUCAGGUCGAGAGACGUACCCAGAACGGCCUGGUGUAUCUGAUUGUGUCUAUUACAUGCGUACUGGAUUCUGUGGAUUUGGUACCCGUUGGCCGCGGUUAUGAAAGCUCUUGGCCAUUCGAAUCUUCAUGAGAUUUCUUACACCGUUCAAUCUCAUCACAAAUAGGGGAGUAACUCAUCAAAAUCUGACUUCAUCAACCGAUGGAAAUCUUCGUCUCGAGGGGGCUAACUUCUCGAUCGUUUGGAUGAAUCUGUGUGGGUACAUGGGGCUUUAAACAGUAUUCGUGGAUUAUGAGCUGCUGCUUUCUGUGUUUAUGCUUUUCUCAUUUUUAAUUAUGUACAAAAUUGGAAGGAUGAGUUUGGCUACAUUUUAGCUUGACAUUUUGAAGCAAAGUAAAGUAAAAAAAUUCAGGCAUGAGAUUUGAUCCUGAGGCAAGGACAGCUGAUUUCGACAGGUAAGCUGUAAUUGAAAAUGAUCAUAAUUCGUAUUUUUGGUCUACUAAAUGCUUUGUUAAAUUUCAGAGCAAAAGAGGAGAUUGAGGAGGAGGAACGAGUUCAAGCUCUUCACCCUCUUAUGGAGUGUGCAAUGUAGAUUUUCAGGUUUUGAGUUUGAUUUUAUGUGGAAACCAUCCGUUAACCUGUAAAACAAUUGUUGACCUUGUAAUUCAUAUUAUAAAUUUAUAAUUCUCUGUAGCUUUCAAGUAAUUACAAGUUUUUCUGGCAGUUGAAUGACCAAUGAGUACUUUUCUCAAUUUCUUGAAGUAUGACCCAAAUUGGAGGCCUGCCAUUGACGAGGAAGGAGGUGAGAAUGAUACAUUGAUUGCGUCUGACUUCAAUGGAGUGCAAACUGUUCAGUCUUACUAAAGUUUAGGUUUGUCAUUGGUGAAACAUUGGCUAUAAUUAAGUUAUUAAGGCAUGCGUUCAUUGUAUCCAUGAAAGCUGAGGUUUGGAACUUUGAGUUGGAUACGGGCAAUAUCAGCUUGUUUCAUGAUUUAAAGAAUGGUAAAACUCCACCAUCAGCUUUUGGAAGCAUUGUUAAAAAUAUCCUCUACUUAGCUAGACUUUGCCAUUUUGUUUCUUUUUCUUUUGUUAAAUAUAAAGGCAAUGUAGUGGCACAUUGUCUAGCCAAAUUAAGUAGUACUUUUACUAAGACUCAAGUGUGGCUUGAGGAAUAUCCUCAUGAAAUACAAGGGAAGGUUUGUAGUGACAUUGUAUGGUCUUGAUGGGAGAAUACCUGAAAUCUUAUAAACGGGGGAAGACAUUGCGUGAUCCCCACUCAGCAUCGAUCACCAAAUUAAUAAUAACUCUUUAUUAAUUGUUUUA
Molecule: long non-coding RNA, 1829 nt
Organism: Chenopodium quinoa (quinoa)
Lineage: Eukaryota; Viridiplantae; Streptophyta; Magnoliopsida; Caryophyllales; Amaranthaceae
Exons: 6
Source: RefSeq, a predicted model, not a curated record